GACGAACGCUGGCGGCGUGCUUAACACAUGCAAGUCGAACGGAAAGGCCCUGCUUUUGUGGGGUGCUCGAGUGGCGAACGGGUGAGUAACACGUGAGUAACCUGCCCUUGACUUUGGGAUAACUUCAGGAAACUGGGGCUAAUACCGGAUAGGAGCUCCUGCUGCAUGGUGGGGGUUGGAAAGUUUCGGCGGUUGGGGAUGGGCUCGCGGCUUAUCAGCUUGUUGGUGGGGUAGUGGCUUACCAAGGCUUUGACGGGUAGCCGGCCUGAGAGGGUGACCGGCCACAUUGGGACUGAGAUACGGCCCAGACUCCUACGGGAGGCAGCAGUGGGGAAUAUUGCACAAUGGGCGGAAGCCUGAUGCAGCAACGCCGCGUGCGGGAGGACGGCCUUCGGGUUGUAAACCGCUUUCGCCUGUGACGAAGCGUGAGUGACGGUAAUGGGUAAAGAAGCACCGGCUAACUACGUGC
This 469-nucleotide ribosomal RNA is filed under the name uncultured bacterium. RNAcentral describes it as "partial 16S ribosomal RNA". It matches the Rfam family "Bacterial small subunit ribosomal RNA", at positions 28 to 508 of the family's 1533-position model. The record is from RNAcentral.